GGGGUCCUACGGGACGCAGCAGUAGGGAAUCUUCCACAAUGGGCGAAAGCCUGAUGGAGCAACGCCGCGUGGGUGAAGAAGGUCUUCGGAUCGUAAAACCCUGUUGUUAGAGAAGAAAGUGCGUGAGAGUAACUGUUCACGUUUCGACGGUAUCUAACCAGAAAGCCACGGCUAACUACGUGCCAGCAGCCGCGGUAGUACGUAGGUGGCAAGCGUUAUCCGGAUUUAUUGGGCGUAAAGGGAACGCAGGCGGUCUUUUACGUCUGAUGUGGAAGCCUUCGGCUUAACCGGAGUAGUGCAUUGGG
RNAcentral lists this ribosomal RNA (305 nucleotides) under uncultured bacterium. Its description in RNAcentral is "bacterial SSU rRNA". It matches the Rfam family "Bacterial small subunit ribosomal RNA", at positions 333 to 630 of the family's 1533-position model. The record is from RNAcentral.